AUGCGCUGCAGGACCUCAGCCUCCAGACCAACGCGCUCUCCGGCCCGCUCCCCUCCUUCCGCGGCAUGGCGGCCCUCCGCCACGCCUACCUCAAUGACAACGCCUUCUCCUCCCUCCCCAAGGACUUCUUCGACGGCCUCGACAGCCUCGAGGAGAUCUGCCUCGACAACAACCCGCUCCUGCCAAUCCAUCUCUACUGUUCUUCUUCUACCACUGCCUCGACCCCUCCUCCCCUUGUAUUCUUCUUCUACCUCUGUUGUUCUUCCUUUCCACAUCACAUCUCUAGUGGUCGUGUGCAGGCACUGUCCAUCCAUCUCAUCUCCUUGCAUGGUGAAGGUGACUAGGCCAUGGAGAGAAAAGCUCCUGCCAAUCAUGGUUCACUUUAGUGACGACGGCAACAUAUCAGGUCACCUAUGUAUGCGAGAGGCUCCUGGAACACGUGUGCUGUACCUCGGAGCUGCCUUUGGAACAACCGUGUCUCAUGUGUCUGACAUUGUUGGACCGACAGGGUUGGUGUAUGCCGUUGAGUUCUCUCACCGGAGUAGUAGGGACCUUGUCAACAUGGCCAAGAAGAGGACCAAUGUCAUCCCCAUCACUGAGGAUGCUAGGCACCCGAAAAAGUAA
RNAcentral lists this ribosomal RNA (624 nucleotides) under Triticum aestivum (bread wheat). Its description in RNAcentral is "partial small subunit ribosomal RNA". The record is from RNAcentral. Lineage: Eukaryota; Viridiplantae; Streptophyta; Magnoliopsida; Poales; Poaceae.